GCGCUUUUGGAGCGGCCGAUGUCUGAUUAGCUAGUUGGUGAGGUAAAGGCUUACCAAGGCGUCGAUCAGUAGCUGGUCUGAGAGGACGACCAGCCACACUGGGACUGAGACACGGCCCAGACUCCUACGGGAGGCAGCAGUGGGGAAUUUUGGACAAUGGGGGAAACCCUGAUCCAGCCAUGCCGCGUGAGUGGAGAAGGCCUUCGGGUUGUAAAGCUCUUUCAGCCGGAACGAAACGGUCACGGCUAAUACCCGUGACAACUGACGGUACCGGAAGAAGAAGCACCGGCUAACUACGUGCCAGCAGCCGCGGUAAUACGUAGGGUGCGAGCGUUAAUCGGAAUUACUGGGCGUAAAGCGUGCGCAGGCGGUUUUGUAAGUCAGAUGUGAAAUCC
Molecule: ribosomal RNA, 395 nt
Filed under: uncultured ammonia-oxidizing bacterium
Lineage: Bacteria
Description: bacterial SSU rRNA
Rfam family: Bacterial small subunit ribosomal RNA
Source: RNAcentral